This 128-nucleotide small nuclear RNA is filed under the name Gopherus evgoodei (Goodes thornscrub tortoise). Its description in RNAcentral is "U5 spliceosomal RNA (ENSGEVG00005010634.1)". The stretch from base 1 to 112 matches the Rfam family "U5 spliceosomal RNA". From Rfam's summary of the family: U5 RNA is a component of both types of known spliceosome. The precise function of this molecule is unknown, though it is known that the 5' loop is required for splice site selection and p220 binding, and that both the 3' stem-loop and the Sm site are important for Sm protein binding and cap methylation. The record is from RNAcentral. Lineage: Eukaryota; Metazoa; Chordata; Testudines; Testudinidae.
AUACUCUGGUUUCUCUUCAGAUUGUAUGGAUCUUUUGCCUUUUACUAAAGAUUUCUGUGAAAAGGAAUAUAUAUAAGUUUCUACCCAGAUCCGUUCAUCUUUUUUGUAUACGCUACCUGGCUUCCGCU